GAAACCAUUUAACCAACAUAAUGGUUUCCAGAAUUUUUAAAACCAUAUAAACACACAUAAAACCAGUUUACAAUACAAAUGGUUUCAGUGUAUAACUAUCUGAAACCAUUUAACCAACAUAAUGGUUUCCAGAAUUUUUAAAACCAUAAAAACACACAUAAAACCAUUUUACAAUACAAAUGGUUUCAGUGUAUAACUAUCUGAAACCAUUUAACCAACAUAAUGGUUUCCAGAAUUUUUGAAACCAUAAAAACACACAUAAAACCAUUUUACAAUACAAUGGUUUUAGUGUAUAACUAUCUGAAACCAUUUAACUGGUUUUAAAUAAUGAUUAUAAUUGUACAAAAAAAAAACAAUUAUGAUUCUAAUUAUAGGUUGUACUUCAAAACCAUCUUAUGCACUUAAUGGUNNN
RNAcentral lists this long non-coding RNA (412 nucleotides) under Trifolium pratense (red clover). RNAcentral describes it as "long non-coding RNA (TPRA_LNC008300)". The record is from RNAcentral. Lineage: Eukaryota; Viridiplantae; Streptophyta; Magnoliopsida; Fabales; Fabaceae.